CUAAGCUUUCAAAACAUUUGUGCUCUAAGCGGUCAGAUGAUCUACCAUGGAACUGACACCUAUCGUGGAGGAACACUGAAACAUAACAGGAAAUGAUAAAGGAAGCUCCAAGCUGAAAAAAGACCACUAAGAAAUGCAAAGGUAUUUCUGACAGCUGAAAUUAAAUGAAGGAAGAAAAUCUGAACAUGUAAAAAUGAAUUAACAAGCAAUUAGAACUUGUUGAAAGGUGUGCACUCGACCGGAUAUUGAGCAGUAUAUGAAAUCAACAUUUUGCAUGGAAGAAGAACUCCAAAUCUAGAGUUUCAACAACAGUUUUACCUAAGAUUUCCAGCCAGUACAAAAAAAAAAACAUUUACUUAGUUUGGUGUAUUGAGUACAGGGUGUGGAUCAGCAAUAAUUACUUGUAUAAAAUGCGAAAAUAACAUUGGAAGUUCUCUCACACCUGCUGUUGGCUGAAUUGUGAAUGCAUGAUGAGUUUGUAGAAAAUUUAACUGGAACUCAAAAUCAACUGGACAGCUGCAGCACAAAGGGAUGGUGAUUUCCUUGCUGCAAAGUUUGGAAAAAUAAUACAAUUAACAUCUGUAGUCAAAUACAGGUUGUGUUAUACAUGUAAAGGCAAACAAAUAGGUCAAUCUCUAUAGCUAUCUGAUACAAAGAUCAUUCAGAACUAUAAAAUAUGUUAAAAUACAAGUAAAUUCAGCUAUCUAGCAAUAACAUGAGGUCCUUCAAAUGUGUUAUGUGUAUUAUUUAAAACGUGCUGCAUAAAAAGAUACCAAAGCUAUUGAAUUUUGUAAAAAGAAAAACAGGGAUGCACUUUCACACUAAAUUCUGAAAGUUAUGGAAAUAUCCUCUUCCAUAUAUAGUCAUUAAACUUCAAUAUUGAGUUUUAUGCAGGACAAAAUAUCUGGCAGAUAAAAUUGAAAGAGAAGAACAGUUGAGAAAAACCGAGAGAAGGAGGUUUAUAGAAGAGUUCAUAAAAGAAGUUCCAUAUCAGGAUAUUUUCAGAAAACAAAUGUUAGUUAUUAAGAAUUAUAAUGUUUUUUUGAUUCUU
Carcharodon carcharias (great white shark) is the source of this 1051-nucleotide long non-coding RNA. RefSeq lists it as uncharacterized. The record is from RefSeq and is a predicted model, not a curated record. The transcript has 4 exons. Lineage: Eukaryota; Metazoa; Chordata; Chondrichthyes; Lamniformes; Lamnidae.